This is a long non-coding RNA of Sander lucioperca (pikeperch), 1501 nucleotides long. RefSeq lists it as uncharacterized. Lineage: Eukaryota; Metazoa; Chordata; Actinopteri; Perciformes; Percidae. The record is from RefSeq and is a predicted model, not a curated record. The transcript is spliced from 2 exons.
CAGUCCAACUGCCUUUUCUGCCAACGGUCGGCCGUCUGGUUGGUCUGUAGCGGCCUUAAGAGGACUGAGUUUGGGUCCUUUAAAGAGGACUAUAUGUGAAAACACCCACAGUGAACAAAAGAUGGUGCUCUUUGGUAGAGGGCAAGAAUAAAUCCAAUAGAUAUCAAGGAAAAUCCCAAGGCACUCAUCUUAAGAAAACAAAUGUUAAUGUUAGGAGGUUAAAGGCACAGGAAUGGGAUGAAACUAUUUAAAACAGCAGGUGUGAGCAAAUCAUCAGGUGCACCUGGUGUUUGAAAUAGUUUCACCCCAUUCCUGUGCCUCUAACUCCCUGAAGAAGUUGGUUUUAAACUGAUGAUGCCAGAUGAAUUAAAGGCAUUUUAAAAAACAUUUCUUAAGACGAGUGCCUUGGGCCUUCCCUUGAUGUCUAUUGGGCUAUAUUCUACCUCCAAUUAGCCCCAAUAAUCACAAACUAAAUUAAAUCAAACAUGUCCAAAUAUCCAGUUGUCAGGGUGUCUUUUGUUACAGCACAGCAUUCCCAUGUUUUUAAAAUGCUUUAUUGGAUACCUUUACUGGUGUUUGCAACCAUUAAAUGACUCCAAAGUCCACCAUACAGGGCUUAACACACUGAGUGAUCAGUGAGAGAAGAGUUUUGUGACGAGCUGCUGUUUCAGUAUCAGUCUGAAAUAAUGAAUGUGAGUCCGUAACGUUAUUUCUGUCAAAAUGGAAACAUACUCUGCCACCUGUAUUCCAAGUUGUUCAACCCUCUAUGUCUGUAAGCAAAAACAGCAUUCAGUGUGUAUGUCAAUGAGAAAUGGAAAUCCGGUUACCAACUUAUCUUUUUAAAAAGAACUACUUUCCUAUUUUGAAGUUGUAUAGUCAUUUUGUAAUUUUGUUGCCUUGUUCCACAGGCAGAUAUCAAUAAUCACAAAACUCUAUAGAUGAGUCUAGAGAAAUAGUUCAUCUUGGCAUGAUUGUAUUCUUGUGUGUCUCUGUGGACAUUUCCACAUUUUUAUUCCUCAACAAAAAGACUAUUUUGUAUAUCACAUUGUCAGAGAAUGCUACAUGUCUGUAGAGAUUAUCAGGAUUUGAGAAAUUAUAGUUUUUACAUUGAAACAUUUACAGUAGCAAUUUCAGUAGGCUCAAGUAGUGGCAUUUAUUUUAUACAGGGGGGGGGGCGUUGGAAACCUGAAAACAUUGUUGCUUUGAGGUUCUCUCAUUACACACCAACAAUGUUCCUUAUGGGAAAAAGUGGAUCAUAUGGAUCAGUUAACAAUUUUCUGAUUUUGAAAUGUAACAUUGAAUGUUUAACGGUGUAGCAUGGCAUCCUGUCUUCAAACGUUGUCAUUUUCUUCAUUAAUCAAAUAUUUUAAACUAGUAUACCAAACCAGUAAGGCUCAUAAUUUUCAUUUUGCAUCGCCACAUUGAAACAUUGUGUUUCUUGCUGCAAGAGAAGUCUUGAAAAAUACAGCCAAUGUGAAAAUAAAUAAUUACAAAUCCAGUA